Molecule: ribosomal RNA, 1349 nt
Filed under: Haemophilus sp.
Lineage: Bacteria; Pseudomonadati; Pseudomonadota; Gammaproteobacteria; Pasteurellales; Pasteurellaceae
Also listed under: 2 other names
Description: bacterial SSU rRNA
Rfam family: Bacterial small subunit ribosomal RNA
Source: RNAcentral
GAGUUUGAUCAUGGCUCAGAUUGAACGCUGGCGGCAGGCUUAACACAUGCAAGUCGAACGAGUGGCGGACGGGUGAGUAAUGCUUGGGAAUCUGGCUUAUGGAGGGGGAUAACUACGGGAAACUGUAGCUAAUACCGCGUAGUGAAAGAUGCCAUGAGAUGAGCCCAAGUGGGAUUAGGUAGUUGGUGGGGUAAAGGCCUACCAAGCCUGCGAUCUCUAGCUGGUCUGAGAGGAUGGCCAGCCACACUGGAACUGAGACACGGUCCAGACUCCUACGGGAGGCAGCAGUGGGGAAUAUUGCGCAAUGGGGGGAACCCUGACGCAGCCAUGCCGCGUGAAUGAAGAAGGCCUUCGGGUUGUAAAGUUCUUUCGGUAUUGAGGAUGACGUUAAAUACAGAAGAAGCACCGGCUAACUCCGUGCCAGCAGCCGCGGUAAUACGGAGGGUGCGAGCGUUAAUCGGAAUAACUGGGCGUAAAGGGCACGCAGGCGGUUAUUUAAGUGAGGUGUGAAAGCCCCCGGCUUAACCUGGGAAUUGCAUUUCAGACGGGAUAACUAGAGUACUUUAGGGAGGGGUAGAAUCCCACGUGUAGCGGUGAAAUGCGUAGAGAUGUGGAGGAAUACCCGGGGCGAAGGCAGCCCCUUGGGAAUACUGACGCUCAUGUGCGAAAGCGUGGGGAGCAAACAGGAUUAGAUACCCUGGUAGUCCACGCUGUAAACGCUGUCGAUUUGGGGAUUGGGCUUGGUGCCCGUAGCUAACGUGAUAAAUCGACCGCCUGGGGAGUACGGCCGCAAGGUUAAAACUCAAAUGAAUUGACCGGGGCCCGCACAAGCCGUGGAGCAUGUGGUUUAAUUCGAUGCAACGCGAAGAACCUUACCUACUCUUGACAUCGACAGGUGCUGCAUGGCUGUCGUCAGCUCGUGUUGUGAAAUGUUGGGUUAAGUCCCGCAACGAGCGCAACCUUAUCCUUUGUUGCCAGCGAUCGGGAACUCAAAGGAGACUGCCGUGAUAAACGGAGGAAGGUGGGAUGACGUCAAGUCAUCAUGGCCCUUACGAGUAGGGCUACACACGUGCUACAAUGGCGUACAGAGGGUGGCGAAACUGCGAGGUGGAGCGAAUCUCAGUACGUCUAAGUCCGGAUGGAGUCUGCAACUCGACUCCAGAAGUCGGAAUCGCUAGUAAUCGCGAAUCAGAAUGUCGCGGUGAAUACGUUCCCGGGCCUUGUACACACCGCCCGUCACACCAUGGGAGUGGGUUGUACCAGAAGUAGAUGCUUAGGGCGUUUACCACGGUAUGAUUCAUGACUGGGGUGAAGUCGUAACAAGGUAACCGUAGGGNAACCUGCGGCUG